This 435-nucleotide ribosomal RNA is filed under the name uncultured bacterium. Its description in RNAcentral is "partial 16S ribosomal RNA". It matches the Rfam family "Bacterial small subunit ribosomal RNA", at positions 29 to 507 of the family's 1533-position model. The record is from RNAcentral.
AGCGAACGCUGGCGGCAGGCUUAACACAUGCAAGUCGAGCGGGCAUCUUCGGAUGUCAGCGGCAGACGGGUGAGUAACACGUGGGAACGUACCGUUCGGUUCGGAACAACUCUGGGAAACUGGAGCUAAUACCGGAUACGCCCUUAUGGGGAAAGGUUUACUGCCGAAGGAUCGGCCCGCGUCUGAUUAGCUAGUUGGUGGGGUAACGGCCUACCAAGGCGACGAUCAGUAGCUGGUCUGAGAGGAUGAUCAGCCACACUGGGACUGAGACACGGCCCAGACUCCUACGGGAGGCAGCAGUGGGGAAUAUUGGACAAUGGGCGCAAGCCUGAUCCAGCCAUGCCGCGUGAGUGAUGAAGGCCUUAGGGUUGUAAAGCUCUUUUGUCCGGGACGAUAAUGACGGUACCGGAAGAAUAAGCCCCGGCUAACUUCGUG